UAGCUUAAGUGGUACAGUACUUGCCUAGUAUGCAUGAGGCCCUAGGUUCAAUUCCUAG
RNAcentral lists this transfer RNA (58 nucleotides) under Heterocephalus glaber (naked mole-rat). It matches the Rfam family "tRNA", at positions 8 to 63 of the family's 71-position model. Rfam says of the family: Transfer RNA (tRNA) molecules are approximately 80 nucleotides in length. Their secondary structure includes four short double-helical elements and three loops (D, anti-codon, and T loops). Further hydrogen bonds mediate the characteristic L-shaped molecular structure. tRNAs have two regions of fundamental functional importance: the anti-codon, which is responsible for specific mRNA codon recognition, and the 3' end, to which the tRNAs corresponding amino acid is attached (by aminoacyl-tRNA synthetases). tRNAs cope with the degeneracy of the genetic code in two manners: having more than one tRNA (with a specific anti-codon) for a particular amino acid; and 'wobble' base-pairing, i.e. permitting non-standard base-pairing at the 3rd anti-codon position. The record is from Rfam by way of RNAcentral. Lineage: Eukaryota; Metazoa; Chordata; Mammalia; Rodentia; Bathyergidae.